UGAAGAUGCAGUGUACCCGCGGCAAGACGGAAAGACCCCGUGAACCUUUACUAUAGCUUGACACUGAACAUUGAGCCUUGAUGUGUAGGAUAGGUGGGAGGCUUUGAAGUGUGGACGCCAGUCUGCAUGGAGCCGACCUUGAAAUACCACCCUUUAAUGUUUGAUGUUCUAACGUGGACCCGUUACCCGGGUUGCGGACAGUGUCUGGUGGGUAGUUUGACUGGGGCGGUCUCCUCCUAAAGAGUAACGGAGGAGCACGAAGGUUGGCUAAUCCUGGUCGGACAUCAGGAGGUUAGUGCAAUGGCAUAAGCCAGCUUGACUGCGAGCGUGACGGCGCGAGCAGGUGCGAAAGCAGGUCAUAGUGAUCCGGUGGUUCUGAAUGGAAGGGCCAUCGCUCAACGGAUAAAAGGUACUCCGGGGAUAACAGGCUGAUACCGCCCAAGAGUUCAUAUCGACGGCGGUGUUUGGCACCUCGAUGUCGGCUCAUCACAUCCUGGGGCUGAAGUAGGUCCCAAGGGUAUGGCUGUUCGCCAUUUAAAGUGGUACGCGAGCUGGGUUUAGAACGUCGUGAGACAGUUCGGUCCCUAUCUGCCGUGGGCGCUGGAGAACUGAGGGGGGCUGCUCCUAGUACGAGAGGACCGGAGUGGACGCAUCACUGGUGUUCGGGUUGUCAUGCCAAUGGCACUGCCCGGUAGCUAAAUGCGGAAGAGAUAAGUGCUGAAAGCAUCUAAGCACGAAACUUGCCCCGAG
RNAcentral lists this ribosomal RNA (750 nucleotides) under Salmonella enterica subsp. enterica serovar Enteritidis. RNAcentral's name for it is "partial 23S ribosomal RNA". It matches the Rfam family "Bacterial large subunit ribosomal RNA", at positions 2054 to 2803 of the family's 2925-position model. The record is from RNAcentral. Lineage: Bacteria; Pseudomonadati; Pseudomonadota; Gammaproteobacteria; Enterobacterales; Enterobacteriaceae.